Molecule: ribosomal RNA, 433 nt
Filed under: uncultured bacterium
Lineage: Bacteria
Description: partial 16S ribosomal RNA
Rfam family: Bacterial small subunit ribosomal RNA
Source: RNAcentral
AACGAACGCUGGCGGCAUGCCUAACACAUGCAAGUCGAACGAGACCUUCAGGUCUAGUGGCGCACGGGUGCGUAACGCGUGGGAACCUGCCCUUAGGUUCGGCAUAACUCCCCGAAAGGGGUGCUAAUACCGGAUAAUGUCUUCGGACCAAAGAUUUAUCGCCUUUGGAUGGGCCCGCGUUGGAUUAGCUAGUUGGUAGGGUAAAAGCCUACCAAGGCGACGAUCCAUAGCUGGUCUGAGAGGAUGAUCAGCCACACUGGGACUGAGACACGGCCCAGACUCCUACGGGAGGCAGCAGUGGGGAAUAUUGGACAAUGGGCGAAAGCCUGAUCCAGCAAUGCCGCGUGAGUGAUGAAGGCCUUAGGGUUGUAAAGCUCUUUUACCCGGGAUGAUAAUGACAGUACCGGGAGAAUAAGCUCCGGCUAACUCCGUG